GUGUUGUAUGAAAGGAGAAGUUAGCACUUCCCUUGACAAGGAUGGAAGAGGCCGUUGGGCCUGACAACACUCAUAUGGUUAAAGCAUUGCCACCUACAUCGUGGCAUCUAACCACUGUUUUUA
This is a small nuclear RNA of Heterocephalus glaber (naked mole-rat), 123 nucleotides long. The record is from Ensembl. Lineage: Eukaryota; Metazoa; Chordata; Mammalia; Rodentia; Bathyergidae.